RNAcentral lists this ribosomal RNA (327 nucleotides) under uncultured eukaryote. RNAcentral's name for it is "partial 18S ribosomal RNA". It matches the Rfam family "Eukaryotic small subunit ribosomal RNA", at positions 1470 to 1796 of the family's 1831-position model. The record is from RNAcentral.
CCCUUAGAUGUUCUGGGCCGCACGCGCGCUACACUGAUUCAUGCAACAAGUUUUGUCCUUGGCUGAUAGGCCUGGGUAAUCUUUGAACGUGAAUCGUGAUGGGGAUAGAUGAUUGCAAUUAUUCAUCUUCAACGAGGAAUUCCUAGUAAACGCAAGUCAUCAGCUUGCAUUGAUUACGUCCCUGCCCUUUGUACACACCGCCCGUCGCACCUACCGAUUGAAUGGUCCGGUGAAAUCUUCGGAUCUGAGAGAUGUCUGAUUAAUUUCGGACGCCUUUUGGAAAAGUUGUUUAAACCUUNCNAUUUAGNGGAAGGUGAANUCGUANCA